Brienomyrus brachyistius is the source of this 507-nucleotide long non-coding RNA. RefSeq lists it as uncharacterized. The transcript has 5 exons. The record is from RefSeq and is a predicted model, not a curated record. NCBI's taxonomy places the organism in Eukaryota, Metazoa, Chordata, Actinopteri, Osteoglossiformes, Mormyridae.
AGCUGGAUUGGCAGGCAGGCAGAAAGGUGGGGGGCAGAAAGGUGGAGGGGCAGAAAGGCAGGCGUGCAGGGAGGUGGAGGGGCAGACAGGUGGAGGGGCAGAAAGGCAGGCAUGCAGGGAGGUGGAGGGGCAGAAAGGUGGAGGGGCAGAAAGGCAGGCGUGCAGGGAGGUGGAGGGGCAGACAGGUGGAGGGGCAGAAAGGCAGGCGUGCAGGGAGGUGGAGGGGCAGACAGGCAGGCGUGCAGGGAGGUGGAGGGGCAGACAGGUGGAGGGGCAGAAAGGCAGGCGUGCAGGGAGGUGGAGGGGCAGACAGGUGGAGGGGCAGAAAGGCAGGCAUGCAGGGAGGUGGAGGGGCAGACAGGUGGAGGGGCAGAAAGGCAGGCGUGCAGGGAGGUGGAGGGGCAGACAGGCAGGCGUGCAGGGAGGUGGAGGGGCAGACAGGUGGAGGGGCAGAAAGGCAGGCAUGCAGGGAGGUGGAGGGGCAGAAAGGUGGAGGGGCAGAAAGGC